GGAAUAUUGGACAAUGGGCGAAAGCCUGAUCCAGCAAUGCCGCGUGAGUGAUGAAGGCCUUAGGGUUGUAAAGCUCUUUUACCCGGGAUGAUAAUGACUGUACCGGGAGAAUGAGCCCCGGCUAACUCCGUGCCAGCAGCCGCGGUAACACGGAGGGGGCUAGCGUUGUUCGGAAUUACUGGGCGUAAAGCGCACGUAGGUGGCGACGUAAGUCGGGUGUGAAAGCCCCGGGCUCAACCUGGGAGUUGCAUUCGAGACUGCAUUGCUGGAGUACGGAAGAGGAGGGCGGAAUUCCCGGUGUAGCGGUGAAAUGCGUAGAUAUCGGGAGGAACAUCAGUGGCGAAGGCGGCCCUCUGAUCCAGUACUGACACUCAAGUGCGAAAGCGUGGGGAGCAAAC
This 398-nucleotide ribosomal RNA is filed under the name uncultured bacterium. RNAcentral describes it as "bacterial SSU rRNA". It matches the Rfam family "Bacterial small subunit ribosomal RNA", at positions 358 to 773 of the family's 1533-position model. The record is from RNAcentral.